CCCUGGUUAGCUCAGUUGGUAGAGCGCUCCACUGGAAAUGGAGAGGUUCCGGGUUCGAUACCCGGGCCAGGCG
Molecule: transfer RNA, 73 nt
Filed under: Ixodes scapularis (black-legged tick)
Lineage: Eukaryota; Metazoa; Arthropoda; Arachnida; Ixodida; Ixodidae
Description: tRNA-Ser
Rfam family: tRNA
About the family: Transfer RNA (tRNA) molecules are approximately 80 nucleotides in length.
Source: Rfam by way of RNAcentral